CAGUCGCCACGGGAAUACGUAGGUGGCAAGCGUUGUCCGGAAUUAUUGGGCGUAAAGGGCUCGCAGGCGGUUUCUUAAGUCUGAUGUGAAAGCCCCCGGCUCAACCGGGAAGGGUCAUUGGAAACUGGGAAACUUGAGUGCAGAAGAGGAGAGUGGAAUUCCACGUGUAGCGGUGAAAUGCGUAGAGAUGUGGAGGAACACCAGUGGCGAAGGCGACUCUCUGGUCUGUAACUGACGCUGAGGAGCGAAAGCGUGGGGAGCGAACAGGAUUAGAUACCCGCGUAGUCCCUGUCUCUUAUAC
RNAcentral lists this ribosomal RNA (301 nucleotides) under uncultured bacterium. RNAcentral describes it as "partial 16S ribosomal RNA". It matches the Rfam family "Bacterial small subunit ribosomal RNA", at positions 509 to 807 of the family's 1533-position model. The record is from RNAcentral.